This is a non-coding RNA of Podarcis lilfordi (Lilford's wall lizard), 96 nucleotides long. NCBI's taxonomy places the organism in Eukaryota, Metazoa, Chordata, Lepidosauria, Squamata, Lacertidae. The record is from the annotation of a GenBank genome assembly.
UGUCCAGCUGUUGUUAGACUACAACUCCCAUCAUCCCUGACCACUGGUCCUGCUAGCUAGGGAUGAUGGGAGUUGCAGUCCAACAACAGCUGAGGA